CCUACGGGAGGCAGCAGUGGGGAAUUUUGGACAAUGGGCGCAAGCCUGAUCCAGCAAUGCCGCGUGCAGGAUGAAGGCCUUCGGGUUGUAAACUGCUUUUGUACGGAACGAAACGGCUCUUUCUAAUAAAGAGAGCUAAUGACGGUACCGUAAGAAUAAGCACCGGCUAACUACGUGCCAGCAGCCGCGGUAAUACGUAGGGUGCGAGCGUUAAUCGGAAUUACUGGGCGUAAAGCGUGCGCAGGCGGUUAUAUAAGACAGAUGUGAAAUCCCCGGGCUCAACCUGGGACCUGCAUUUGUGACUGUAUAGCUAGAGUACGGUAGAGGGGGAUGGAAUUCCGCGUGUAGCAGUGAAAUGCGUAGAUAUGCGGAGGAACACCGAUGGCGAAGGCAAUCCCCUGGACCUGUACUGACGCUCAUGUACGAAAGCGUGGGGAGCAAACAGGAUUAGAUACCCUGGUAGUCCACGCCCUAAACGAUGUCAACUGGUUGUUGGGUCUUCACUGACUCAGUAACGAAGCUAACGCGUGAAGUUGACCGCCUGGGGAGUACGGCCGCAAGGUUGAAAACUCAAAAGAGUAAGUUACGGACGNGUAGAGAGCGACCGAGGACACACGGGAGGGUUAGAGG
Molecule: ribosomal RNA, 630 nt
Filed under: uncultured bacterium
Lineage: Bacteria
Description: bacterial SSU rRNA
Rfam family: Bacterial small subunit ribosomal RNA
Source: RNAcentral